RNAcentral lists this ribosomal RNA (716 nucleotides) under Enterococcus casseliflavus. RNAcentral's name for it is "bacterial SSU rRNA". It matches the Rfam family "Bacterial small subunit ribosomal RNA", at positions 726 to 1442 of the family's 1533-position model. Lineage: Bacteria; Bacillati; Bacillota; Bacilli; Lactobacillales; Enterococcaceae. The record is from RNAcentral.
UCUUUGGUUUGUAACUGACGUUGAGGUUCGAAAGCGUGGGGAGCGAACAGGAUUAGAUACCCGGGUAGUCCACGCCGUAAACGAGGAGUGCUAAGUGUUGGAGGGUUUCCGCCCUUCAGUGUUGCAGCAAACGCAUUAAGCAUUCCGCCUGGGGAGUACGACCGCAAGGUUGAAAUUCAAAGGAAUUGACGGGGGCCCGCACAAGCGGUGGAGCAUGUGGUUUAAUUGGAAGCAACGGGAAGAACCUUACCAGGUCUUGACAUCCUUUGACCACUCUAGAGAUAGAGCUUCCCCUUCGGGGGCAAAGUGACAGGUGGUGCAUGGUUGUCGUCAGCUCGUGUCGUGAGAUGUUGGGUUAAGUCCCGCAACGAGCGCAACCCUUAUUGUUAGUUGCCAUCAUUUAGUUGGGCACUCUAGCGAGACUGCCGGUGACAAACCGGAGGAAGGUGGGGAUGACGUCAAAUCAUCAUGCCCCUUAUGACCUGGGCUACACACGUGCUACAAUGGGAAGUACAACGAGUUGGGAAGUCGCGAGGUUAAGCUAAUUUCUUAAAGCUUCUCUCAGUUCGGAUUGUAGGCUGCAACUCGCCUACAUGAAGCCGGAAUCGUUAGUAAUCGCGGAUCAGCACGCCGCGGUGAAUACGUUCCCGGGCCUUGUACACACCGCCCGUCACACCACGAGAGUUUGUAACACCCGAAGUCGGUGAGGUAACCUU